Molecule: long non-coding RNA, 517 nt
Filed under: Mytilus galloprovincialis (Mediterranean mussel)
Lineage: Eukaryota; Metazoa; Mollusca; Bivalvia; Mytilida; Mytilidae
Source: RNAcentral
CAUGGCAGAGACCAAUUUUAAAGAAAAUGGCAAGACACUUAGUAGUGUCAACAUGUAUAUUAACUGAUCAUUAAUGCUGAAUAUUAAAAACAAUAAGUUUUUGCUAUAUUUAUCUUUUCACGUGCAUGAAAGAAAUCAAACUGUAAAUUAGUUUGUCAAAUUACGUGAACAUGUCUCAAAAGGUACGAUUCCUGUUAAGAGGCAUUGAUUCAGAAUUCAACGAAGAUACAACAUCACCAACAUAUAAAACCAAUCAGUAUUCAAUUGGUACAGAUUCCAUUAAUUUGACAAACGACGGGAACUUACUUGUUAUUUGGCCUUUCAACUUAGGUGAGUUAAUCAAAUGUACGCAUGAAUAGAAAACGAGAAUAAUUGCCAAAAAAAGACAACUUAAUUCAUCUUGGACAGGCUAUCAGCACGAUUUAAGGCCACAUCGGUUUUCCGAUGGUCAAAUAAAGAACAUUUACCAAGAAGAGAAUUAUGAGGUUAAAAGUUGAUAGAAGGAGAUAUAGGCCGA